RNAcentral lists this unclassified non-coding RNA (190 nucleotides) under uncultured fungus. RNAcentral's name for it is "sequence contains ITS1". The record is from RNAcentral. Lineage: Eukaryota; Fungi.
UUAUUAGGUUAUAAUAAAAGAUACAUUUUAUACACAAAUAGUUUGUGAAAAGGCAGACAACCUCCCAGAGGAGGCCAUCUUACAGUGCACAGGUGUUAUGGAUGUGAAGGGUGCAAGAGGCUUGCCAAAGGCAGAGACACUCAAGCGUUUGUAUUCACUAAUGAUCCUUCCGCAGGUUCACCUACGGAAA